GGGCCGGUAGUCCAGUCUGGUUAACGACGCCGCCCUCACACGGCGGAGAUCCCCGGUUCAAAUCCGGGCCGGCCCA
Molecule: transfer RNA, 76 nt
Filed under: Candidatus Bathyarchaeota archaeon
Lineage: Archaea; Thermoproteati; Candidatus Bathyarchaeota
Also listed under: 1 other name
Description: tRNA-Val
Rfam family: tRNA
About the family: Transfer RNA (tRNA) molecules are approximately 80 nucleotides in length.
Source: RNAcentral